RNAcentral lists this ribosomal RNA (513 nucleotides) under uncultured bacterium. RNAcentral's name for it is "partial 16S ribosomal RNA". It matches the Rfam family "Bacterial small subunit ribosomal RNA", at positions 28 to 523 of the family's 1533-position model. The record is from RNAcentral.
GAUGAACGCUGGCGGCGUGCCUAUUACAUGCAAGUCGAGCGCGAGCGUAAGGAGCUUGCUCCUUACAAUCGAGCGGCGGACGGGUGAGUAACACGUGGGCAACCUACCCUUUAGACUGGGAUAACUACCGGAAACGGUAGCUAAUACCGGAUAAGUUGGAUUACAUAAGUAAUCUUAAUGAAAGGCGGAUUUAUCUGUCACUAAAGGAUGGGCCUGCGGUGCAUUAGCUAGUUGGUGAGGUAGUGGCUCACCAAGGCAACGAUGCAUAGCCGACCUGAGAGGGUGAUCGGCCACACUGGGACUGAGACACGGCCCAGACUCCUACGGGAGGCAGCAGUAGGGAAUCUUCCGCAAUGGACGCAAGUCUGACGGGGCAACGCCGCGUGAGUGAAGAAGGGUUUCGGCUCGUAAAACUCUGUUGUUAAGGAAGAAUACUUUAGGUAGUAACUGGCCUAGAGAUGACGGUACUUAACCAGAAAGCCACGGCUAACUACGUGCCAGCCGCCGCAGUAA